Molecule: long non-coding RNA, 563 nt
Organism: Arabidopsis lyrata subsp. lyrata
Lineage: Eukaryota; Viridiplantae; Streptophyta; Magnoliopsida; Brassicales; Brassicaceae
Exons: 2
Source: RefSeq, a predicted model, not a curated record
ACCGCCGAUCUCGCCAGCCGUUGUCUCCGGCGUCUCGCCCUCGCAAUCGGUUUGUUCUCCUCUCUCUUACGCCAUUAUAAAACUUAGAGAUUCUUUCUUAGUUCCUCAAUCUUCCGAUGGAUAUCAACAAUAAUUACCACCGCUCCGACGACGACGACAACGCUCCGACGACGACGACAACGCUCUCUCAGUCACCGGAUGUCCUGCAUAAACGAUUCGAAGUUUCAGAUCAUUGUCAAAGAUGUGAUCUCAAGAUGGAUCAUCACAGUCUUUGGAUUUUUAAUUGUGAUGCCACUAAAGACGCCCAUGGAAUCUGCUUGUUAAUUGAGUGGGAUGAAUGUAAGACGCUUGACUAUGAGAGGAUUUUUGAAAAGAUGUAGAAACCAGCGUUUGUCUUUGAUGGUAUAGAAAUGUUGUUGAUGUAGAGAAGCUGGGAAGAUAGGAUUUAUUGUUUACUCUAUUGGUAAGUCAUUGGACCAAUGGAUCAAGGAUAUGCAUGCUCUUGCUUAGAUUUGAGUAUUUGCCCAUUCUCAAGAUUUGGAAUGUUUUUGGGUUAUAUCAAA